This 62-nucleotide transfer RNA is filed under the name Loxodonta africana (African savanna elephant). It matches the Rfam family "tRNA", at positions 5 to 66 of the family's 71-position model. From Rfam's summary of the family: Transfer RNA (tRNA) molecules are approximately 80 nucleotides in length. Their secondary structure includes four short double-helical elements and three loops (D, anti-codon, and T loops). The record is from Rfam by way of RNAcentral. Lineage: Eukaryota; Metazoa; Chordata; Mammalia; Proboscidea; Elephantidae.
UGGUGGUUCAAUGGUAGAACGCUCGCCUUCCAUGCAGGAGACCCGGGUUCAAUUCCCGGCCA